RNAcentral lists this long non-coding RNA (211 nucleotides) under Elaeis guineensis (African oil palm). RNAcentral describes it as "long non-coding RNA (EGUI_LNC066639)". Lineage: Eukaryota; Viridiplantae; Streptophyta; Magnoliopsida; Arecales; Arecaceae. The record is from RNAcentral.
CCUCUCCCCCCAUCCGGUCUAAAGAGAAUCGGGCCUUCUACUUUGUCGAGACGAGGUUCCCCUCUUGCUUAUGAUACAGUUUGUUUGGGCUGCCCUGUCGAUGUAAGAUAGUGCCAAAGGGGGAGACAUGUAGAUAUACAACUUUUAAUUAAAAUAAAGUUAUUGGUAGUACAUCCGUAAAUUUUUCGAGCUCCAUGGUCGCGGGAGGUCG